Molecule: ribosomal RNA, 269 nt
Filed under: uncultured prokaryote
Description: partial 16S ribosomal RNA
Rfam family: Bacterial small subunit ribosomal RNA
Source: RNAcentral
UACGGAGGGGACAAGCGUUGUUCGGAAUUACUGGGCGUAAAGAGCACGUAGGCGGCCAGAAAAGUCAGACGUGAAAGCCCUCUGCUCAACAGAGGAAGGGCGUUUGAAACUUUCUGACUUGAGUGUGGGAGAGGAGAGUGGAAUUCCCAGUGUAGCGGUGAAAUGCGUAGAUAUUGGGAAGAACACCAGUGGCGAAGGCGGCUCUCUGGACCACUACUGACGCUGAGGUGCGAAAGCUAGGGGAGCAAACGGGAUUAGAUACCCCCGUA